UUAGAUAAAAAGCCAGUUCAUGCUUUUACAGUAUGAAAAUUGGUGAUUUAUAAUAACUUAGCAAAUCGCAAAGUGAAAACAGGCGAUAAAUCAUUCAAGUUUCUGACCUAUCAGCUUUCGACGGUAUGGUAUUGGCUUACCGUGGCAGUGACGGUUAACGGGGGAUUAGGGUUCGAUUCCGGAGAGGGAGCCUGAGAAACGGCUACCACAUCUAAGGAAGGCAGCAGGCGCGCAAAUUACCCAAUUCUAACAGUUUGAGAGAGGUAGUAACAAGAAAUAACAAUACAAGGCAGUUAAAAUGCUUUGUAAUUGGAAUGAUAGAAAUUUAAACCCUUUUUAAAGUAUCAAUUGGAGGGCAAGUCUGGUGCCAGCAGCCGCGGUAAUUCCAGCUCCAAUAGCGUAUAUUAAAAUUGUUGCAGUUAAAAAGCUCGUAGUUGAAGUUCUGCUGAAAGUAACCGGUCUGCUUUUAAUAAAAGUGGUAUCUUGGUAUGUAUUUAGCAAUGAUGUCCUUUGAAGUGUUUUUUACUUUAUUGUAAUAAAGCAUAUUCAGGACUUUUACUUUGAGAAAAUUAGAGUGUUUCUAGCAGGCUAACGCUUUGAAUACUGCAGCAUGGAAUAAU
RNAcentral lists this ribosomal RNA (620 nucleotides) under Hepatozoon canis. Its description in RNAcentral is "bacterial SSU rRNA". It matches the Rfam family "Eukaryotic small subunit ribosomal RNA", at positions 210 to 818 of the family's 1831-position model. The record is from RNAcentral. Lineage: Eukaryota; Apicomplexa; Hepatozoidae.